GGAGGGUUGGCGGAGCGGUAACGCGCCGGGUUGCUAACCCGUGGCUGGGUGGCAACACCCACGGGAGUUCGACUCUCUCACCCUCCG
This 87-nucleotide transfer RNA is filed under the name Akkermansiaceae bacterium. Its description in RNAcentral is "tRNA-Ser". It matches the Rfam family "tRNA". Rfam says of the family: Transfer RNA (tRNA) molecules are approximately 80 nucleotides in length. Lineage: Bacteria; Pseudomonadati; Verrucomicrobiota; Verrucomicrobiia; Verrucomicrobiales; Akkermansiaceae. The record is from RNAcentral.